This 84-nucleotide ribosomal RNA is filed under the name Neobacillus bataviensis. RNAcentral's name for it is "Bacillus bataviensis partial 16S ribosomal RNA". It matches the Rfam family "Bacterial small subunit ribosomal RNA", at positions 1 to 82 of the family's 1533-position model. Lineage: Bacteria; Bacillati; Bacillota; Bacilli; Caryophanales; Bacillaceae. The record is from RNAcentral.
CUUUCAUGGAGAGUUUGAUCCUGGCUCAGGACGAACGCUGGCGGCGUGCCUAAUACAUGCAAGUCGAGCGAAUCAAUAGGAGCU